CAAUUCCCAGGUUGGAAAAACUUAAGCUAAUGCUAGCUCAAGAGACUCUGCAACUCAUGAGAGCGAAAGAAUUGUAUUUAAAUCGCAAAAGAGCUGAAAUUCAGGGAAAGAUGGAAGAUCUUCCAGAACAAGAAAAAAAUAUAAAUGUUGUAGAUGAAUUAGAAAUGCAAUUUUAUGAAAUUCAGUUAGAACUAUAUGAAGUUAAAUUUGAGAUAUUAAAAAACGAAGAAAUACUGCUUACUACACAGUUGGACUCUCUUAAAAGACUUAUAAAAGGUAAAGUUUAUAUUUAAGUAUAUAGAUAACAAUGUUUAUAAAUUUAAGGAAAUACAGACCAUAUUAUCAAUUACUUUUUGUAAACUGUAACAUCUGAAAAUUUCCUAAAGUUUUCCUUCAGUAGUUUAUUAUUCAAAUAAUAUAUUCAUUGUUAGCACAUAGC
Long non-coding RNA from Homo sapiens (human), 439 nucleotides. Lineage: Eukaryota; Metazoa; Chordata; Mammalia; Primates; Hominidae. The record is from Ensembl.